This 491-nucleotide ribosomal RNA is filed under the name uncultured bacterium. Its description in RNAcentral is "bacterial SSU rRNA". It matches the Rfam family "Bacterial small subunit ribosomal RNA", at positions 21 to 507 of the family's 1533-position model. The record is from RNAcentral.
GGCUCAGGAUGAACGCUAGCGGCAGGCUUAACACAUGCAAGUCGAGGGGCAGCGGGGAGUAGCAAUACUCUGCCGGCGACCGGCGCAAGGGUGCGUAACGCGUGAGCAACUUGCCCGUGUCAGGGGGAUAACCGGUGGAAACGCCGACUAAUACCCCAUAACACAGAGGACCGCAUGAUCCUCUGUUGAAAGAAUUUCGGACACGGAUGGGCUCGCGUGACAUUAGGUAGUUGGUGAGGUAACGGCCCACCAAGCCGACGAUGUCUAGGGGAACUGAGAGGUUGGUCCUCCACACUGGAACUGAGACACGGUCCAGACUCCUACGGGAGGCAGCAGUGAGGAAUAUUGGUCAAUGGACGAAAGUCUGAACCAGCCAUGCCGCGUGAAGGAAUAAGGCCCUAUGGGUCGUAAACUUCUUUUGUAUGUGAGCAAUAAGGUCCACGUGUGGACCGAUGAGAGUAGCAUACGAAUAAGCAUCGGCUAACUCCGUG